UGUGGGUCCUGUCAGCCUGAUUAUUCCAGUUGAUGAGAUCCAGGAGGAGGAGGGUCUUCUCUGCUGAUGCUCUGCCCUCUGGAACAUCUUGCUCCCUGAUCUGAAGUUGGCCUCAGCCCUCCUAACAUUUCGUAAGGGCCUAAAGGGCCUGGAUCUAUGAGCUGGCCUGGAGCCCUGAUGGGGGAACAACACAGUGGAGUUGAUUAAUCAAGUGGAAUGUCUCUCCACUCUCCAGUACCCCAUUGGUCCUGAUAUUGCUGUGUCUGCUUUCACAAAAACAAAAAUGCAUUUCCAGCAGCAGUUUGAUUAUGUCAUGUGACAUCACAUAAGAAUGAGGAGAAUAUAUGGAGGAACUUUAUCAAAUCUGGCAACAGCUGGACAAGAGCAGAACUAUUCAAGACGAGCCCAUUAUGAUCUCAUCAGUCAAGUCAAGAGCAGUGGAACAAGAUUUCUCUGGUACAGCUGAGUGGCUGCUGGCUAUAUGCUGUUAGUUGCUUCUCCUGAAAUGUACAACAACAACAAAGUAAUAAAACAUGGAUCAUUUUUUGAAGUAUGGCUGAAU
Crotalus tigris (Tiger rattlesnake) is the source of this 562-nucleotide long non-coding RNA. RefSeq lists it as uncharacterized. The transcript has 3 exons. Lineage: Eukaryota; Metazoa; Chordata; Lepidosauria; Squamata; Viperidae. The record is from RefSeq and is a predicted model, not a curated record.